Molecule: ribosomal RNA, 584 nt
Filed under: Staphylococcus aureus
Lineage: Bacteria; Bacillati; Bacillota; Bacilli; Caryophanales; Staphylococcaceae
Also listed under: 1 other name
Description: partial 23S ribosomal RNA
Rfam family: Bacterial large subunit ribosomal RNA
Source: RNAcentral
CAUUCAUAGAGUGUAAAGGCAUAAGGGAGCUUGACUGCGAGACCUACAAGUCGAGCAGGGUCGAAAGACGGACUUAGUGAUCCGGUGGUUCCGCAUGGAAGGGCCAUCGCUCAACGGAUAAAAGCUACCCCGGGGAUAACAGGCUUAUCUCCCCCAAGAGUUCACAUCGACGGGGAGGUUUGGCACCUCGAUGUCGGCUCAUCGCAUCCUGGGGCUGUAGUCGGUCCCAAGGGUUGGGCUGUUCGCCCAUUAAAGCGGUACGCGAGCUGGGUUCAGAACGUCGUGAGACAGUUCGGUCCCUAUCCGUCGUGGGCGUAGGAAAUUUGAGAGGAGCUGUCCUUAGUACGAGAGGACCGGGAUGGACAUACCUCUGGUGUACCAGUUGUCGUGCCAACGGCAUAGCUGGGUAGCUAUGUGUGGACGGGAUAAGUGCUGAAAGCAUCUAAGCAUGAAGCCCCCCUCAAGAUGAGAUUUCCCAACUUCGGUUAUAAGAUCCCUCAAAGAUGAUGAGGUUAAUAGGUUCGAGGUGGAAGCAUGGUGACAUGUGGAGCUGACGAAUACUAAUCGAUCGAAGACUUAAUCAA